CUAGAACCAAAGGGAGACACUAAACCUCUCUGCAAACUCUUUGUACGUUCCCAUCUGUGACUUCAUAAAUAUUUGAUGCAGUGGCCAGUCAACAUCCCUACAUUAGUGAAACUUCUGCCCAGGAGCAACUGCACAGCUCUCAGCGAUGAGAUCGGACCCAGGAGGCAAAUGCAGCAUGACUCACUCCCUCCGUUGCCCUUGGUUAAACAGCCGUGAAUAUCUAAAAUCACCCCAGUACACAGUUGCGUAUUUUAGUUGUGGGUCCUUCUAGUUGUGGCAUGUGGGACACGGCCCCAGCAUGGCCUGAUGAGCUACUCCCAUGCCCAGGAUCCGAACCAGCGAAACCCCGGGUCGCCGAAGUGGAGCACACGAACUCAACCACACUGCCACGGGGCCGGCCCCAGCUAAGAAUAUUUUUGUAUUUGUUUUCAUUGUUUUGCUCAGUACCUAAAUCUUCAUUAAAUGAAGAGUUUGUAAUGCCCGUUUUGAAUUGUAUGUAGGUUUGCUUAGCAGAUCUGUUUACUUUCAUUAUCUGCAAUUUAAAAAAUUGAAGCUGACCACCUCUUUGAAUAUAUUCUACUUUUUCCUUUUCAGCCCUUGCUUUGCUGAGCUCCAAUUCC
This 620-nucleotide long non-coding RNA is filed under the name Equus caballus (horse). RNAcentral's name for it is "lncRNA (ENSECAG00000036536.3)". Lineage: Eukaryota; Metazoa; Chordata; Mammalia; Perissodactyla; Equidae. The record is from RNAcentral.